GCCCUGACUCUACCUGGCUAAAAAGGCAGUGUUGUGGAACCCCAGCUUCUGCUCACAAAGCUGGCUUUCUUGAACCCCACUCUCCAUCCUCAGGUGUUUGACUUCACCUUUAGCCCAGAAGAGAUGAAGCAGCUAAAUGCCCUGAACAAAAAUUGGAGAUAUAUUGUGCCUAUGCUUACGGUGGAUGGGAAGAGAGUCCCAAGGGAUGCAGGGCAUCCUCUGUACCCCUUUAAUGACCCGUACUGAGACCACAGCUUCUUGGCCUCCCUUCCAGCUCUGCAGCUAAUGAGGUCCUGCCACAACGGAAAGAGGGAGUUAAUAAAGCCAUUGGAGCA
RNAcentral lists this small RNA (335 nucleotides) under Pan troglodytes (chimpanzee). RNAcentral's name for it is "processed transcript". The record is from RNAcentral. Lineage: Eukaryota; Metazoa; Chordata; Mammalia; Primates; Hominidae.